AUUGAACGCUGGCGGCAUGCCUUACACAUGCAAGUCGAACGGUAACAGGUCUUCGGAUGCUGACGAGUGGCGAGCGGGUGAGUAAUACAUCGGAACGUGCCCGAUCGUGGGGGAUAACGAGGCGAAAGCUUUGCUAAUACCGCAUAAGACCUAUGGAUGAAAGCAGGGGACCGCAAGGCCUUGCGCGAACGGAGCGGCCGAUGGCAGAUUAGGUAGUUGGUGGGGUAAAGGCUUACCAAGCCUACGAUCUGUAGCUGGUCUGAGAGGACGACCAGCCACACUGGGACUGUGACACGGCCCAGACUCCUACGGGAGGCAGCAGUGGGGAAUUUUGGACAAUGGGCGCAAGCCUGAUCCAGCCAUGCCGCGUGCAGGAUGAAGGCCUUCGGGUUGUAAACUGCUUUUGUACGGAACGAAAAGCCUUCUUCUAAUAAAGGGAGGUCGUGACGGUACCGUAAGAAUAAGCACCGGCUAACUACGUGCCAGCCGCCGCAGUAA
RNAcentral lists this ribosomal RNA (498 nucleotides) under uncultured bacterium. RNAcentral's name for it is "partial 16S ribosomal RNA". It matches the Rfam family "Bacterial small subunit ribosomal RNA", at positions 30 to 523 of the family's 1533-position model. The record is from RNAcentral.